UUUCAACAAUAGCUCAGGUGGCAGAGCAUGAGACUCUUAAUCUCAGGGUCACGAGUUUAAGCCCCACAUUGGGCAAAA
Non-coding RNA from Podarcis lilfordi (Lilford's wall lizard), 78 nucleotides. Lineage: Eukaryota; Metazoa; Chordata; Lepidosauria; Squamata; Lacertidae. The record is from the annotation of a GenBank genome assembly.